RNAcentral lists this ribosomal RNA (397 nucleotides) under uncultured bacterium. RNAcentral describes it as "partial 16S ribosomal RNA". It matches the Rfam family "Bacterial small subunit ribosomal RNA", at positions 523 to 918 of the family's 1533-position model. The record is from RNAcentral.
AUACGUAGGUGGCAAGCGUUGUCCGGAAUUAUUGGGCGUAAAGCGCGCGCAGGUGGUUCCUUAAGUCUGAUGUGAAAGCCCCCGGCUCAACCGGGGAGGGUCAUUGGAAACUGGGGAACUUGAGUGCAGAAGAGGAUAGUGGAAUUCCAAGUGUAGCGGUGAAAUGCGUAGAGAUUUGGAGGAACACCAGUGGCGAAGGCGACUGUCUGGUCUGUAACUGACACUGAGGCGCGAAAGCGGGAGAAGCAAACAGGAUUAGAUACCCUGGUAGUCCACGCCGUAAACGAUGAGUGCUAAGUGUUGGGGGGUUUCCGCCCCUCAGUGCUGCAGCUAACGCAUUAAGCACUCCGCCUGGGGAGUACGGUCGCAAGACUGAAACUCAAAUGAAUUGGCGGGG